GUGUAGCUUGUUUGCAGAGGUAUUAUUGGGGGGAAAGAAAGCUGAGUAUUUCGAGAGGCUUCGUUGGGAGUGCCCUCUCAGAUAUGAGGAAGGGUUGAGCAUUUUUACAGGUCUGCCUGUCCGUUGAGGAUGGAGGUCGACAUAUAUAGGAGUUUCCCUAACAACAAGUAGUAAUGAUAUUCCUUUACCCUGCUUGGUCAUAGCACGGUAGUGGGAGCUGUCAGCUUCACGUGU
Molecule: long non-coding RNA, 234 nt
Filed under: Malus domestica (apple)
Lineage: Eukaryota; Viridiplantae; Streptophyta; Magnoliopsida; Rosales; Rosaceae
Description: long non-coding RNA (MDOM_LNC016288)
Source: RNAcentral